AGGCACCAAGAGGGGGCCGGUUAGAUUGGUUGAAAGGGACAUGGAGACCAGAAGGGCUUCUUUCCAGUUCCUUCUUUGUGGGGAACAUUGGGAUCAGAGAGGGUUCUAAGCUCAUUUCAGAAGCCCCAACAUACUUAAAUGAACAUGGCUAGAAAAACUGAAGAUUGAAUUUACUAAUCAUUCCUUGCUUCUCAUUUGUCUCAGGAUUAAGGUGAAAGCUAAAGAACCUAUUCUUGAGCCUAGUAUGGUCCACGUAGGGUGGCCUCACAGCAAAGCCUUUGGGGUGGUGGACAUGAGCCAGGGGCAGAUGACAGAUGUGGCAGUGACUCAGAGGAGUCUUCAAAACCCAUGAAGGCUAAGGGGAAGCCAAGUCAUUAGGGCGGAUCCUCCAGGGUCCAGAGACACUAGAAAAGCAUAGACUACGAAUGAGUUUAUCCACCAUAGAUGUCAACAACAGCUAUCAAUAGGCUCCCUAGGAUCAGAACUGGCUGAGGCAAGCUUCAGUUGAGCUCCGUUCGCAUCGGUCACCACACGCUCCCCUCCCAACUCCAGAAAGCCUGUGGCCCCUCCCAUGCUUUGGCUGCCAUCUUGGAAAGGAGGGCGACAAGCUUUGGAGGGUGGAGAAUAACCCAGUUGAAAAUCUACAAGCAAUGCUGUCCACAUCCCAAAUAGACUGGUCAAAAAGCCUUCAUCCCGUCAGUCACUGACAUCAACUUCAUCCAAAUCAGACUCCUAAAAACCCGGCCUAACUUAUGUGUCAUGCAAAGGAUGGCUCUUGGAAAAAUGCAAAGAAGCAGGGGCCGCUAAGGGAGAGAUGUGAAGGUCAAGGAAGCUCUGAGCUCCUGACAGCCGCCCUUCCAGCCUUCUCCUGCCUUCCAUAGAGAGAUGCUAUGGACUCUUGGUCCAGAGACUCAAAUUCAAGGAAAAGAAGAGGCAACAUUUGCAGUGUUGAUCCUUGAGUUGAACAAAGAGUGGUCAGGAGAAGAAACCAACAAGAAAUGUAACCUACCUCCAGAACUCAGGAACUCAGGUACCCUUAAGGAUAUCAGAAACAAUGAAAUAUGGAUUGGCAGAAGCAUCUUCACCACCAUCUUCAGAUGUAAUUAAUGCAGCUGUUGAAUUUGGUUGACUAUCCACCUAUAAUUACCACAUUGCCCAUUACAGAUUUUUGCUGCCUUUUCUUGCCUCCUUUUCAUUUUUACAUCCACUUAUUCCCUACAGAAAUGACAGAUAAUCAGCAUUUUUGUUUUCUUGUUAUGUUGUCCUGAUAGUACAGCUACAAAUGGAUUUGAUGUGCUGAAUAAUGGUCUACUAGGCCUAAAAAUGAAAGUCUAGACCCUUAGUCAAAAAUAACUUGGAUCUAUGUGGUACCAAGAAAAGAGGAAUUAUAAGAAAAAGAAUAUUAGUUUAAUGUUCUGUAAAUUUUUUUCUUAACCUAUUCUGUCCAGUAUUUACUACUUGGCUGCAUUCCUAAAACAUAAAUUUCACAGGGGCAGGAGUCUUUGUCCAUUUUGCUCAUUAAUGUGUUAGGAAUACUAAAAAGAGUGUCUAGCGGGGUAGUCACAUAAUAAAUACCUGUUGCAUGAACAAA
Homo sapiens (human) is the source of this 1591-nucleotide long non-coding RNA. Ensembl annotates it as long intergenic non-protein coding RNA 2654. The record is from Ensembl. NCBI's taxonomy places the organism in Eukaryota, Metazoa, Chordata, Mammalia, Primates, Hominidae.